GAGUUAAUUAGUUGAUGAUGAAUAUUAUUAAUUCAAACCCAUAACGCCCCAGCACGUCUAAGCAUUGGGAUUAAGGAGCGAUUAAGGUGAAGACUCAUGAUCUCAUUGGCUCCACCCACGAGUUGACCGCCAAUGAACACUGCUGGCAAGGUUGGGGACCCAAGUCUCGACAGUGCUUGCUCGAUUUCCUUUCCUCUAGGUAUCUCAUCCAGCUCAUGAACCGCCGGGUUCACCCCAAAGUCACACAACAAGGUCUUGAUGGCAUGGCACAUGCAGCAAGUGCUCCUGCUAAAGAUCACCACUGCCCUCUCUGAUGCCAAUUGUGUCACCCUCUCCAUGAUCUCGACAAAGAGCUCUACGCUUUAGAUUUCAAAGUCCAACUACCGUCUAGAACACAAUGCCAAGUACAGCGAUCGAGAAGGGUACAAUGCUAAUCAACUGGUGGGUAGAAAACUGAUAUAAGUUAAUCAAUAUCAAGAGAUGAUUGUUGUAAGAAGAGAAACGCGAGAGCUAGCUAGUAAGGAUUGCUGUGAGGGUUUUUGGUGU
Molecule: unclassified non-coding RNA, 546 nt
Filed under: Hevea brasiliensis (rubber tree)
Lineage: Eukaryota; Viridiplantae; Streptophyta; Magnoliopsida; Malpighiales; Euphorbiaceae
Source: RNAcentral